Molecule: RNA transcript, 2185 nt
Organism: Rhodamnia argentea
Lineage: Eukaryota; Viridiplantae; Streptophyta; Magnoliopsida; Myrtales; Myrtaceae
Gene name: protein DETOXIFICATION 24-like
Exons: 9
Source: RefSeq, a predicted model, not a curated record
UAGCUAGGAAUCGAAUCCGUGCUGAGCGGAUUAUUCACAAGCACGAGUUCGUUCCUUAGCCCCUAAGCAAACUCCUUGGGCUUAGUCUUUUUUCGUGAUUCAGUGCACUCUGCAAACUUCACAAGCAAUCAGCGCAGAGCACAUUCAUGUUUUUGUGGAUGGUUCUGGUCAAAGCAACGAGUUAGCAGAGAUUCAUCAAUCUACCUCCUCCACCCCUUGGCCCCUUCUCUCUCUAACAUGUCUUGUUCCUCAUUUGAGUCUCGAUUGUAUAAGGCUUGAACAUGCCAGUUUUCUUCUACUGAGGGAUUACAUGGAGCGUUUUCUGCAUCAACUAACAUUCAUAUUUCGUACAGGAAGUCAGAGGUUGCAACCGGGACAGGCAUUAGUAGUUUACUUUGUUUCAGGUCUAUGUGCAGGGAGUUUUACUCAUUUCAAUAUGUUAAGCUUUGAUUCAGUUCCAUUCACUUUCUCUCUAGAGCAUCAUGGACGACAAUGUGGAGCAGAAACUUUCGGAAACAAGCAAUCUGAAGGGGAGAAUUUGGAGCGAGACCAAGCUCGUUUGGAGAAUCAUUUUUCCCUCAAUGUUCGCUAGAGUAUCGGCGUAUGGGAUCCCAGUGGUGACUCAGAUAUACAUCGGACACAUUAGCGAAGUAGAUCUUGCUGCUUAUGGAUUGAUACAGAGUGUUCUCUUGUUGUUUGUGAAUGGGGUUCUGUUGGGAAUGUCGAGUGCGACUGAGACAUUAUGUGGGCAAGCAUUUGGAGCUGGCCAAUACCAUAUGCUGGGCAUUUACUUGCAAAGAUCAUGGAUCGUCGAUAUUGUGACGGCGACAAUACUCCUCCCUGCGUUUAUAUUUGCGACUCCGCUCUUCCGGUUGCUCGGUGAGGAUGAUGACGUGGCGGUUGCGGCCGGAGAGAUCUCUCUUUGGUUCAUCCCUUUCCUCUACUACUUUGUUUUCUCGCUGACCGCCCAAAUGUACUUACAAGCACAGCUGAAAAACUCCAUAGUUGGAUGGCUGUGUUGCGGCUCUUUUGCCCUUCAUUUGUUACUCUCCUGGAUCAUGGUUAGCGUGCUCGAGUUGGGGGUUCCCGGUGCCAUGAUUGCCUUGAACAUAUCUGGUUGGUCUACAGUAAUUGGAGCAUUCAUCUACAUUUUUGGAGGGUGGUGUCCUCAGACAUGGAAAGGAUUCACCAAAGCCGCCUUUGCUGAUCUCAUUCCCGUCAUAAAGCUGUCAAUUUCUUCCGGCGUGAUGCUUUGCUUGGAGCUGUGGUACAGUGCUAUCCUUGUCUUGUUGGCGGGAUAUAUGCAAAACGCGACCGUGGCAAUAUCCGCAUUCUCGCUCUGCAUCAGCAUCAACUCAUGGGAAUUCAUGAUCUGCCUCGGCUUCCUUACGGGGGCAUGUGUGCGUGUAUCCAAUGAACUCGGGAGAGGAAACGCCAAAGCAGCAAUGUUCUCUGUCAAGGUCAUCGUCUCCAAUUCUUUAGCUAUUGGAAUAUUGUUCUGGGCGCUAUUUUUAGCCUUCGGAGACGAGAUUUCGAAGCUUUUUACAAGUAACGAAGAAGUUGCAGAAGCUAUGUCCGGUCUCUCUAUUCUACUUGCGUUCUCCUUCUUGCUCAACAGUGUACAGCCAGUGCUGAUAGGUGUUGCCAUCGGUGCUGGUUUACAGAGUGUGGUUGCGAUUGUAAACGUCUGCUGCUAUUAUUUGAUUGGCAUACCGAUCGGAGCAUUACUUGGAUAUGUGGCUGGUCUGGAAAUUAAGGGCCUGUGGGUUGGAUUGCUGUGCGGAGUGCUAGCGCAGACGUUGGUGCUUUCUUUCCUCACUUGGCGAACGAACUGGGAAGAACAGGUCAAUAAGGCAUCUAAACGUCUUGAUCGGUGGCUUUUGGAACCAGAGGAACCUACUGAGAGUGUUAGUCAUGCUUGAGAUCAUCCUCCAGGACCCGAUGCGGAGAGGGGCGACAAACGACUACUUUAGAAGCAUCUUCUUUCCUUUUUCUUUUCUUUUUAUUCUGGUUUUGGGUAAAUUUGCCUUCACGAUUAACCAAAUUUUUUAUACCCGAAUUGGAAGUAAAUUUCACUGUUGUUUACAGCAUUCACUAUGGUUCUGAACCUAGCUUAUAUAUAAUAUCUGUCAUAAGGUCGAGUAUACAAUACUUUCGAGGAGAGGAUUAACAUAUGAUCCUGGAA